Molecule: long non-coding RNA, 816 nt
Filed under: Pogona vitticeps (central bearded dragon)
Lineage: Eukaryota; Metazoa; Chordata; Lepidosauria; Squamata; Agamidae
Description: lncRNA (ENSPVIG00000024310.1)
Source: RNAcentral
AAACUAACAGACAGAGCAAGGGCUGGGAAGAGGGAAGAGGACUUCACAUUAAUUAAUGAACACUGAGAGCCCACAGCUGCUCUGUUCAGACAACAAGCCACAGAUCUGCUUCAAAGAGUCGUGUGGCUCUUUGUCCUGCACACUUCAUUCAUGCAGCCACAUCUCGAGUUGUGUGAUUUGGUUUCAUCCAGGUGGAAGCGUGAAUCACUUCACAACAGGUAAGGGCAGCCACCUUCACUGGACCACGGUUGCUCGACUGGAGGGCUGUCUGUUUAUCACUGGCUUUUUGAAAAAGACCCUUGAUAUACCCUAACACUUCACGAAGUUUCAAGAAAUAUUCCAAUCAGACUCAAGAAAGCUUGGUUAACAUGAAGGUGGGCAAUUGUGGACUCCCGGAUAUUGCUGAACUAUGACUCCCAUUACCCCUGGCUAGCAUAACCACAAUGAGACAUGAAUGAAAACUGCAGACAUAAAGUUGGCCUCCAGUGAUCAGGCUUUCAAACUUACCUCCCAGAACUGGCCUACCUCUUCCAUAUGAACUGGCCUGCAAAGGAACCCCUGUACCACUACCCCCCCUCUCUCUCACACACACACACACACAAGCACUGCAAAGGAUUUUGGGUCCUCAGUUCACACAGGGCAGUGGCCACUCUGUUUGGCUCAAAGUGACCAUGCAGCGGCUUGCUAAAGGACCUCCUAAAAGGUACCCAAUGCUUAUGUCUGGUUCUACCAUUAGGCAGACCAAGGAAGCCACCUCAGACAAGAGAAACUGUGAGGUAUGCAGUCAUGGUAAAGAACUGGAGGACCAAAAACAAC